This 253-nucleotide ribosomal RNA is filed under the name uncultured bacterium. Its description in RNAcentral is "partial 16S ribosomal RNA". It matches the Rfam family "Bacterial small subunit ribosomal RNA", at positions 524 to 776 of the family's 1533-position model. The record is from RNAcentral.
UACGGGGGGGGCAAGCGUUGUUCGGAUUCACUGGGCGUAAAGGGUGCGUAGGCGGUCGGGUAAGUCUGAUGUGAAAUCUCCAAGCUCAACUUGGAAAUGGCAUCGGAUACUAUUCGGCUCGAGGAAUGGAGGGGAGACUGGAAUACUUGGUGUAGCAGUGAAAUGCGUAGAUAUCAAGUGGAACACCAGUGGCGAAGGCGAGUCUCUGGACAUUUCCUGACGCUGAGGCACGAAAGCCAGGGGAGCAAACGGG